This 563-nucleotide ribosomal RNA is filed under the name Pseudomonas fluorescens. Its description in RNAcentral is "partial 16S ribosomal RNA". It matches the Rfam family "Bacterial small subunit ribosomal RNA", at positions 94 to 653 of the family's 1533-position model. Lineage: Bacteria; Pseudomonadati; Pseudomonadota; Gammaproteobacteria; Pseudomonadales; Pseudomonadaceae. The record is from RNAcentral.
AGCGGCGGACGGGUGAGUAAUGCCUAGGAAUCUGCCUGGNAGUGGGGGAUAACGUUCGGAAACGGACGCUAAUACCGCAUACGUCCUACGGGAGAAAGCAGGGGACCUUCGGGCCUUGCGCUAUCAGAUGAGCCUAGGUCGGAUUAGCUAGUUGGUGAGGUAAUGGCUCACCAAGGCGACGAUCCGUAACUGGUCUGAGAGGAUGAUCAGUCACACUGGAACUGANACACGGNCCAGACUCCUACNGGAGGCAGCAGUGGGGAAUAUUGGACAAUGGGCGAAAGCCUGAUCCAGCCAUGCCNCGUGUGUGAAGAAGGUCUUCGGAUUGUAAAGCACUUUAAGUUGGGAGGAAGGGCAUUNACCUAAUACGUUAGUGUUUUGACGUUNCCGACAGAAUAAGCACCGGCUAACUCUGUGCCAGCAGCCGCGGUAAUACAGAGGGUGCAAGCGUUAAUCGGAAUUACUGNGCGUAAAGCGCGCGUANGUGGUUUGUUAAGUUGGAUGUGAAAUCCCCGGGCUCAACCUGGNAACUGCAUNNNAAACUGACUGACUAGAGUAUGGUA